RNAcentral lists this small nuclear RNA (163 nucleotides) under Carlito syrichta (Philippine tarsier). RNAcentral describes it as "U1 spliceosomal RNA (ENSTSYG00000031240.1)". It matches the Rfam family "U1 spliceosomal RNA". Rfam says of the family: U1 is a small nuclear RNA (snRNA) component of the spliceosome (involved in pre-mRNA splicing). The record is from Rfam by way of RNAcentral. Lineage: Eukaryota; Metazoa; Chordata; Mammalia; Primates; Tarsiidae.
AUACUUACCUGACAGGAGGAGACCAUAAUCACAAAGGUGGUUUUCCCAGGACGAGGCUUGUCCAUUGCACUAUGGAUGUCCUGACCCCUGCAAUUUUCCCAAAUGUGGGAAACUCGACUGCAUAGUUUGUGGUCGCGCGGGACUGUGUGCGUGUUCUCCCAUG